GGCAGUUUCCCCUGCUCUGUGUUACACUCUUCUCUCUCUCCUGCAGGCAUGUGAAAAGAUCCAAGCUUGCUUCCCCUUCACCUUCUGCCAUGAUUGUAAGUUUCCUGAGGCCUCCCCAGACAUGUGGAGCUGUGAGUCAACUAAACCUCUUUUAUUUAUAAAUUAUCCAGUCUCAGGGAAAUUCUUUAUAGCAGUGUGAGAAUGGACUAAUAUAAGGGGCAAAGAGAAUCAUUCCUGGACAGCUCUGUAGACUGCUGCAAGAACUAUUCCACUUGAAGACAAAUGUGUGAUUCUGCCCUGCUGAGACAGUCUUGCUCUGUUGCCCAGGCCGGAGUGGAGUGGCACAGUCAUAAUUCCCUGUACCCUUGAAAUCCUGAGCUCAAGCCAUCUCCAUACCUUAGCCUCCCAAGUGGCUACUACAGGCCUGCUAUCUUAUCAUUUGAUGCUCUACUAGAGUCAGAUUGGAAUUUGGCAUCUUACUGCUACGAACAGUCUGUUUUAACUGACUGAUAGUAUUUUCCUUUGGAAGAUCCUUUUAUAUUCUGUCUCUAUGAAAGAAGUGUUUUCAAUGAAAUAAGAUAUUUAUUCCAAAUCAAUCCUGCACCAGAAGCUCCAUUUCUGCAUUCGCUUCCAGAAAACACAGCAGCCGUAUGUGAAUUUGGGAGUGGUCCCACGAACAGGUUAUGAGACGAGGUUUUGGAGCUGGAUCACACCUGACACAACUGGCAUUGAAAACCUUAUUACCAAGAGCCUCUGGCACAAGCCUGCUAUGAAGAAAUACCCAAGACUGGGUACUUUCUCAACUUUCAAAUUGAGCUGUUCAGAAUGUGUGAAACAAUUUUAAGAUGAAGUCAAAGAUACUUGAAGCAGAAGCUGUAUCUGAGGAAGCUGUAUAUAAACCCAAUUUAAAGCAAGUUUAACCUGCUGAUUGGGAAGAAUUUUUAUGAAAAGCUGUGUGCUUCCUGAUAAGAAAAAAGGCUUUCCUGUUUCGAUCAAACCAGAACCAAUGGCUGCACCUUUCUAGAGUCCAGGCCAAAGGCAAACAGCUUCCAAUAAUCCACAGAUCUUUUCCGUAAUGGACAACUUUGCUCUCAUCGUGACAGAGGAUAUCUUGAAAUGAAAACUUGGAGUUGUAGUACCAAUGACGAUGAUAUAUGUGUCUAAGUGGUCAGUGAAAAUGUGUCUCUCAAUUAUCAACAUUUGGCAUCAAAUGCUACGAAAGAAUGUUGUGGGGUGGGUUGCUUAGAGUUGACAACAGGACCUGUAACUCACAUCCUAGCAAUCAUUUGACUCCUAAGUAUAUUCUCUAAAAUGAAACAACCUGCCAAACAUGCAUUUUAGAUGACAAAUUUAUGAUGUUAAAAUUAUUUGCUCAUCAAAUGAGCUCAGUUUUGUAAUCUAUAACAAUACCAAUUUGGACAUUUGCCUUUUGUGAAUAGCUCAUUUACUGCUAUAAAAGGAAAGAGAAAGAGAGAGAAAGAAAGAGAAUAAAUCAUGUAAUUGUGUAGCACCUGCUAUGUUCUAGGGACUAUGAUAAAUUUAUAAUCAGUUAAAGUCAUUUUUCAUAAUCCCAAGAAGGAAUUUUUGGGUAGCAGUAAUUCCCCUAUUCCCUUUCAGAUGUGAAAGCUGAUGAUAAUGAAUGACAGAUUAUCUAAAUUUAAAAAAUCCAUGUCAUCUUCAAUACUACACUGCCUAUUUACUUUCUCGCAAUAUGCUCUCAGCCCUCCAGCACUGUUUGGUUUUCCAAAAAAAGGUCAUAAUGACCUUGAAGUUUAGAACAUGUCUCACUGCAUUAUUGUUUAGGGCAGUCCUGACCCUGAUUUCUUACACUAAGCUUUCUCUAUUGAUUUCUACAGAAGUCAUUAUGUCCUGAGAGCAUAUUUUGAUGUUUAACUUCCACCCCUGUGUAAUAUUAUCUGUUGACUAGCCUUCAGUCCCUUUUCUCUGAGACUCUGCUAUUUCCUUUUUCUCUGUCAUAUUCAGGUCUACUUUUACAAUUGAUUCUUCAAACUGAUAUCACAUAUUAUCUCAACAGAGUCAUUGACAUACUACAAGUAAUUUCCUUGAGAUUUUCAUCUGACUUGUACCAUCCUGAUAAUUGUUACCCUGAGAUACUGAAAUUAAAGUGAUGUUUGAAAAGUAUCCUCUAUUUAAGCUACUAUUAUUCUUCAUUGACUUUCAGUGAUUCCAAAAGUCUAGAGCUUUCAUGUCCAGUGUAUGAGCCCCUAGCUAUCAAAUCCAGAGCUAUUAAGGCCACUGAAUAAUAGUACAAUAGAGAACAACAUAAUUCGAUCAAUAUUUUACAAAGAAAAUUAAGAAUGUAGCCUAGAAAAUGUUAAGAAGGAGAAAGAAAUGGAAUCAGAACUGUCAAAAUAAAACUACAGUAGUCUGGUUAAGAUAUAAAUCACAUAUGUGCCCUACACACACAUAUUUAAAGACAUCCAUUUUUGUUAUCAACCUGAAUAAAGAUGCCCACCUGAGAAAAAAGCACUGUUACCAAGGCAUCUGAUUCAGAUUUUAGCCAAUAUAGAGUUAUGAUGAAUGGGGUAUUGGGGAUACUAGGUAGAGAGAGAGUUUAAAGGGCAAUGAAAUUUGUUGCCAACACAGGAACCUCCUUCUUCAGGGUGUUCUACAUUCAGUUUCGUUACAUUUUCUUCAUCUUUUUUUCUAUUGUGUUGUAGCCUGAGAAAUCUGGAUACUCAUAUUAUCCUUGUAUUCCUCACCUUGAAAUGUUUUAUCCAAGUUUCAUUGGUCUGCAUGUGUUAUGCUGAGUGAGACAUUGUAUCAGCAUAUAAUAUUGGGCUAUAUUUGUUGUUGCCUUUAUUAUUGCCAUCAAUAACCUUGUUCAAGGAAGAUUUAGAAAAGACUUAGAAUCCUUUCUGUGUAAUUUAAGAUGCUGUAUUGGGUUCAUCCUGUAAUACAGACUCAAUGAGUGUUUGUUGAAGUGUUGAGUAAACAAAUUUUGCUUAAGAAGAAAAGAACAGAUUAAUAUGCUUAUUUGCUUAAUGCAUAUAAUUGCAGUGCAAAAAUCAAACUAUUUAGGCAGAUAUUUUAUUUGCUAAUAAUCACUCUUUUUAGCUUAUUUAUAAUUAUAAUUUGUUAAUUGUAAUUUUAUUAUUAUUUUUUGUAUUCACAUAUUAAGUCCAGCAUAUCGGUUCAUUCACCCAUUUAUUUAUUUUACUUUUUUUUUAUUAUACUUUAAGUUCUAGGGUACAUGUGCACAACGUGCAGGUUUGUUACAUAGGUGUACAUGUGCCUUGUUGGUUUGCUGCACCUAUUAACUCAUCAUUUACAUUAGAUAUAUCUCCUAAUGCUAUCCCUCCCCCAUUCCCCCACCCCAUGACAGGCCUGUGUAUGAUGUUCCCUGCCCUGUGUCCAAGUGUUUUCAUUGUUCAGUUCCCACCUAUGAGUGAGAACAUAUGGUGUUUGGUUUUCUGUCCUUGCAAUAGUUUGCUCAGAAUGAUGGUUUCCAACUUCAUUCAUGUCUCUACAAAGGACAUGAACUCAUCCUUUUUUAUGGCUGCAUAGUAUUCCAUGGUAUAUAUGUGCCACAUUUUCUUAAUCCAGUUUAUCAUUGAUGGACAUUUGGGUUGUUCCAAGUCUCUGCUAUUGUGAAUAGUGCUGCAAUAAACAUACGUGUGCAUAUGU
Long non-coding RNA from Pan troglodytes (chimpanzee), 3648 nucleotides. RefSeq lists it as uncharacterized. The record is from RefSeq and is a predicted model, not a curated record. NCBI's taxonomy places the organism in Eukaryota, Metazoa, Chordata, Mammalia, Primates, Hominidae. The transcript has 9 exons.